This 442-nucleotide ribosomal RNA is filed under the name Campylobacter jejuni. RNAcentral's name for it is "bacterial SSU rRNA". It matches the Rfam family "Bacterial small subunit ribosomal RNA", at positions 1 to 441 of the family's 1533-position model. Lineage: Bacteria; Pseudomonadati; Campylobacterota; Epsilonproteobacteria; Campylobacterales; Campylobacteraceae. The record is from RNAcentral.
UUUAUGGAGAGUUUGAUCCUGGCUCAGAGUGAACGCUGGCGGCGUGCCUAAUACAUGCAAGUCGAACGAUGAAGCUUCUAGCUUGCUAGAAGUGGAUUAGUGGCGCACGGGUGAGUAAGGUAUAGUUAAUCUGCCCUACACAAGAGGACAACAGUUGGAAACGACUGCUAAUACUCUAUACUCCUGCUUAACACAAGUUGAGUAGGGAAAGUUUUUCGGUGUAGGAUGAGACUAUAUAGUAUCAGCUAGUUGGUAAGGUAAUGGCUUACCAAGGCUAUGACGCUUAACUGGUCUGAGAGGAUGAUCAGUCACACUGGAACUGAGACACGGUCCAGACUCCUACGGGAGGCAGCAGUAGGGAAUAUUGCGCAAUGGGGGAAACCCUGACGCAGCAACGCCGCGUGGAGGAUGACACUUUUCGGAGCGUAAACUCCUUUUCUUA